AGGUUGUUGUAACAGUCAAGAAAAGAGAUAAUGAGAGCUAAAACUUAAGCCAGUAAUGGAAAAAAGUAGAUUUUUUUUAAAUUUUAUCUCUACAUUUCUCUUCUUUGUCUUCUGAAAGUACCUGGAAGCAAUGAUCCCAGUGGCAGUGAGCAAAGCUAGCAUCUAUUUUUUGGCUUCUCAAUACUAUUCACCACUACCAACAACCUAGGAUUCUUGUUGCAAUGGAUAAUUGCUAAUUUUAUGUAUCCAGGUGUGAAGUAGGAAAACGUGACAAUAUGGAAUGGUUUAACGCAAUAAAGAACAUAAAAACAAUAGAACCAUGUUUUAACAAAUAUAUACAGAAACUCAUUUGGAGAAGCUGCUAGGGACCAAAUGUGAGUCAAUUAGAACAUUAAAAAUAAGUUUGCCAGCAAUCCAUUACAGCAGAUGGAAUUCUUUAAGAAAGAGUGAGUCCCUAGUGAUAUUCAAAAUGAAGAGAGAGGGAAAAAAAGAAAACAUUUUUAUAGAAGAGUGCCAUAUAAUAAAUGCAAACAUAUUGAUACAUUUGAUAGAUUUAGAAGAUUACCUCUUUUUCAGUUUUUAAUGUAACUUUAAAAUAACCAACAAAUGCAUAGAGAGUGGUGGGGAGCAACAUUCAUACAGUCUCAAAGUACGUUGCACAGCUGCUUCCGAAUCGAAAAGGAUGAACGUGUCUUAGCAAGAAAGAGAUUGGCAAUAGUACCAUAAGCAAGGGAUCGAAUUUAGCUUAACCAACACAGAGGUAAUCUGAUUUUAUAUACCUUCUGAUAUGAAUAGUUAGGAUACAAAAUCAUACAUGUAAAAUUCCUACCAAAAAUGUUCAAGUUAAAUUAACCAUGAGGAAAUAACGAGGAAAGCCCUGAUAUAGGAAGCAGCACACACAUGCACUCACACACACUAGCCUGCAAUCUUUUAAAAGUGUAAUGUUAUUAAAAAAAAAACUAUGUCGGGGGAUUUAAUCUAAAUUAAAAGAGAUGGAAAACCAAAUGCUGGCAUUAAUUAGCCAUUAUUAAGGCACUAGUGUAAUUCAAAUGUGUAUUAUAUGUUGAUAGUAUCAUUAGGCUGCAUAAUUUGCUUAGGUUCGAAGAUGAUUUUGUGGUUAUGCAGGAAAAGUUAUUUUUUAGAAGGGGCAUGCUUAGUAUUUAUUAAGAAAGGUUGUGAUGUCUACAACUUAUUUUCAAAUGAGUCAGCCAUAAAAAUGUGUGUGUGCAUGGUGUGUAUGGAGAGAGAGGGAGAGACAGAGCCAGAGAGAAAGAGAGAGAGAAACAGUAUAGAAAAAUGUUAUCAAUCUAGGUGAUUGGAAUAAUUAUAAUAGUCUUUCAACUUUUCCAUUCAUUUUAAGCUUAUAAAGAUGAAAAAGUGUGGGAGUUCCCGUCAUGGCUCAGUGGUUAGUGACUCCGACUAGGAACCAUGAGGUUUCGGGUUCGAUCCCUGGCCUCGCUCAGUGGGUCAGGGAUCCGGCGUUGCUGUGGGCUGUGGUGUAGGUCACAGACUCAGCUUGGAUCCCGUGUUGCUGUGGCUGUGGCGUAGGCUGGCAGCUUCAGCUCUGAUUGGACCUCUAGCCUGGGAACCUCCAUAUACCAUGGGUGUGGCCCUGGAAGAAGACCAAAAAAAAAAAAAAAAAAUGAAAAAGUGUUAGUGGGAUAUAUCAAAAAAAAAUAGAGAAAAAGAAACAGAGACGAAGCGAUAGAGACAGAGACAUCCUUGUGCGUAGGGUCUCGUAAUUCAAGAGAGAUGAGACAUUCUCUUGGAUAAUUAUUGAGUGCUGGGGAGAUCCUAAGACUGAGCCUGGGUAAUCUGACCUAUUGGUGAUAAGAAUACAGAAUUAGAAUGCAGAGAAAACAAAACAAUUAUACUUCCUAUUGACUGGAAUUGGGACUUUGCCCACUCCCACCCCAAGCGGAAUCAGAGGUUUCCACCCUGUGCACUGAGCACCCUGUGCUCUACUAUUUUAACUGUAGUAGUUAACACAUUAUAUUGUAAUUAUAAAUGUCAAUGAAAGCUUACUAUGCAAUACAUAAUAUUUUAAUGGAUGAAUGAAGAUAGUGAGAGAAUGUAGCACAGGGCGGGGUCUCACAUACCCCUCCCCCAGAUUAGCUCCAAAUUUAGGUGCAGAGGGAUGGCCCUGCAGCUCCACAGCCCUGGGUAGUGGACUUCUCAGCUUGCCUUAUUGCUGCAGGACUCCGCUGCUCCUUAACUGGAACUCAUGUCCUCCCAAGAGGCAAUGAAAGAUCAUGUCCUCUGUGUCCUGCUCCUUGAUCUCUCUUCUGCUCCCUCUGCAGAUUGUAAACACCUGUCUUAGAGCAUGUAUCCCUUGCUGUGGAAACCAUCCUUUGCAACACGGAAACCUGACUCACAUUGAAUGCCUUUGUUAUCUGAAAAAGGAAUGGCCCAGAGCUGGUUUCAGGAAUAUUUUUCAAUAAACCUAUGUAUGAAUCAUACGUCCUAAAUAAACACCCUGAAGUUUGUUCGUUUAUGUAUUGAACAACUACCUGCUAAGUUUACAUCACAUCCCAAGCAAAUGAGAGCUGAAGAUACAGCUCCUCACAGAGUGGAUCAAACGGAUCAAAAUACUUCGCUCUGUUAGAAGCAAAGGGAGACCCUGGGGCUGGAGUAAGAUAGCAAGGACCAUUUUGAGGUUGGAAGACAUGCUGCAUCUCUAAAAGGACAAAUCCAGAGAUAGGGAUGAUCUCCCAGGAGACACGUCUACCCCUAUUCCUCUCUCUCUCUUAGGGCCCUUUCUUCCCCAUUUGUCUCCUCAGGUAGCUUGAUAUGUUUAUGCUGUGGAACAUAAAGGGGCUUUCACAAUGUCACACGAGAAAUAGACACAGGAAGUGGGGCUGCUUAACUUGUGAAACCAACCCUGGGGAUGGAGGACAGAGAGGACGGAAAUAGACAUAACCAAGCCUGGGCGUCUGAAGGGUUGGAGGGGCCGGAAGGUGUUCUGUAUGACCCAGAUAAUAGACCUUAUCUCACUGAAAGGCAGAGUACAGAAAAGACUGACAUGCCCAGUAAAAUUUACUACCGAUUGGUAGAGCAGAUGAGCCUGGAGAGGGUGAUGCUUCUAGACCCCUCCUCCAUAACUCAGCUGCUGAACUAUCCCGUGUGCCUCAUCAUUUUCCACCCAAACACACAAAUCCUGCACAUUUUCCAUUGCCCAGGAAAAACUAAGCAGAGAAUACCCUCUGUGGCUUCUGGCCUAGAUGUCCCUGGGGAGCAGCAGUCACCAAGGCACCCGCCGGUGGUAUUUAGUAAUAGGUGAGCUGCAGAGUCUUUCAGGUCUCCUGCAGAAGAAUGUGGAGCAGUAGAGAAGGCUGCAACAACAAGCUGAGUGAGUAACUCGGGGCCCAGAUACAACCCUUUCUACACUCUUUAGAAGGACAAGGGCCUGGUGAGUGAGUCUCAGAUUCCCUCUCUGUCAGCUGCUAUCAUGUGGAGGAGACAGUGGGUUGGAGGAUAAGCAGGUGUCAAAAGCAGGAAGCAAACCAAGGAGGCCUAGACUUCCAUAAAUGGCAGGUCUGUUGUACCCCCAGAUAAGGGAGAGGACAUGAAGGAGGCUACUUCCCAAAGUCCCAAAGCAAAGAUUUCCCCAUUCAGAUAAUUCAUUAUCAGUGAGCCAGACUCAGUGUCCAAGCAGAUUAAUGCCCUUUUGUUUCUCUAAUUACGGCAUCAGUAUAAAGGUAUCUUAAAACCCCAUCCUGGAGAGCAUCCUGUGGGUGAUUUGAUUGUUUGCUU
RNAcentral lists this long non-coding RNA (3753 nucleotides) under Sus scrofa (pig). RNAcentral describes it as "lncRNA (ENSSSCG00035010058.1)". Lineage: Eukaryota; Metazoa; Chordata; Mammalia; Artiodactyla; Suidae. The record is from RNAcentral.